GGGGCGCAGCUACCAUGCAGUCGAGCGGCAGCGCGGGGCCACCUGUGCGGCGAGCGUCGAACGGGUGAGUAAUGCGUCGGAACAUGUCCCUGUCGUGGGGGAAAGCCCGGCGAAAGCCGGAUUAAUACCGCAUAAGCCCGGGAGGGGAAAGCAGGGGAACGCAAGGGCUUGCGCGAUUGGGUUGGCCGAAGUCCGAUUAACUAGUUGGUGAGGUAAAGGCUUACCAAGGGGAUGAUUGGUAGCUGGGCUGAAAAGAUGAUCAACCCCCCUGGGACUGAAACACGGCCCAAAAUCCUACCGGAGGGAACCGUAGGGAAUUUUGGACAAUGGGGGCAACCCUGAUCCCGCCAUUCCCCGUGAGUGAAAAAAGGCUUCCGGUUGGAAAGCUCUUUUGUCCGGAACGAAACGGGUAACCCUAAUACGGCUGCCUACUGACGGUACCGGAAGAAUAAGCACCGGCUAACUACCUGCCCACAGCCGCGGUAAUACGUAGGGGUGCGAGCGUUAAUCGGAAUUACUGGGGCGUAAAGCGUGCGCAGGCGGUUUUUGUAAGCCAGAUGUGAAAUCCCCCGGGCUUAACCUGGGAAUGGCAUUUUGGGACUGCAUGGCUGGAGUAUGGCAGAGGGGACUAGAAUUCCUGGUGUAGCAGUGAAAUGCGUAGAUAUCAGGAAGAAUACCGAUGGCGAAAGCAGGUCCCUGGGCUAAUACUGACGCUCAUGCACGAAAGCGUGGGGAGCAAACAGGAUUAGAUACCCUGGUAGUCCACGCCCUAAACGAUGUCUACUGGUUGUUGGAGGUUAGACACUCUCAGUAACGAAGCUAACGCGUGAAGUCGACCGCCUGGGGAGUACGGCCGCAGAGUUAAAACUCAAAGGAAUUGACGG
This 884-nucleotide ribosomal RNA is filed under the name uncultured beta proteobacterium. RNAcentral describes it as "bacterial SSU rRNA". It matches the Rfam family "Bacterial small subunit ribosomal RNA", at positions 41 to 916 of the family's 1533-position model. Lineage: Bacteria; Pseudomonadati; Pseudomonadota; Betaproteobacteria. The record is from RNAcentral.